AUUAUUAAGAACUAAAUAUUGUAAGUAAGUAAAUAUUAUGAAAACAAAAAAUUAUGGCGGUACUUUAAGCUUUUCAGAGGAAUUUGCUCUUUAAUGGAUAAAACACCUAAAUCUUACUAAAAUUAGUUUUAAGCCAGUUUGUAUACCACUAUAAAAGUAAUAAUUUAUAAUUAUUACUUAAAUUUUAAGUUUAAAAUUAACUUAAGUCAUGGUGCAGCAAAAAUUUUAGGUUGAAGUGAAUUACAUUUCUUUUCAGUUUUUUAAAAUUUAAAAAUUAAUUAGGAUUUGAAAGUAAAAAUAUAAUAUAAUGAUAUUUUGAAUUAAGUUCUGAAGUAUGUACA
RNAcentral lists this ribosomal RNA (341 nucleotides) under Amblyomma calcaratum. RNAcentral describes it as "partial 12S ribosomal RNA". Lineage: Eukaryota; Metazoa; Arthropoda; Arachnida; Ixodida; Ixodidae. The record is from RNAcentral.